GAUGAACGCUGGCGGCAUGCUUAACACAUGCCAGUCGAACGGGAAGUGGUGUUUCCAGUGGCGAACGGGUGAGUAACGCGUAAGAACCUGCCCUUGGGAGGGGAACAACAACUGGAAACGGUUGCUAAUACCCCGUAGGCUGAGGAGCAAAAGGAGAAAUCCGCCCAAGGAGGGGCUCGCGUCUGAUAGCUAGUUGGUGAGGUAAUAGCUUACCAAGGCGAUGAUCAGUAGCUGGUCCGAGAGGAUGAUCAGCCACACUGGGACUGAGACACGGCCCAGACUCCUACGGGAGGCAGCAGUGGGGAAUUUUCCGCAAUGGGCGAAAGCCUGACGGAGCAAUGCCGCGUGGAGGUGGAAGGCCUACGGGUCGUCAACUUCUUUUCUCGGAGAAGAAACAAUGACGGUAUCUGAGGAAUAAGCAUCGGCUAACUCUGUG
RNAcentral lists this ribosomal RNA (436 nucleotides) under uncultured bacterium. RNAcentral's name for it is "partial 16S ribosomal RNA". It matches the Rfam family "Bacterial small subunit ribosomal RNA", at positions 28 to 507 of the family's 1533-position model. The record is from RNAcentral.